AAUUACUUGAGAAACAGCAUGUCACAACAACGGCUUUCUGGCCUUGCCCUUCUAAGCAUUGAGAAUGAAAGAGCAAGAAAACUGGACAUUCCAGCUAUUGUUGACAAAUUUGCUGAGUCUAAAGCGAGACGGCGCAACUUCUAGUAAUAUGUAUUUUGCGUAAGUGAGCAGUUUGUUGGGUACAGGGAGUUAUAUUAUCAAAGUUCAUACUAACCCAGUUCAAUUUAUUCAACUUUGGUUGUACUAAACAGUUAACUAGUUUGGUUCUAUUUUAGCUGCCUUCUUUUUGGUAACAAUGAUGCAGAUUAAUAAACAAUUCUGAUGUUGUUACACUCUAAAACACAACGACCGCCUUUGAACUAUUUGAAUACAGCACUGGUUUCUGCACAACAAAAGCUUAAUAUCAAAAAGAAGGCAGAUGUUACCAACAUCAAAAAUACUUAACAUAAUUACUAAAUGCUACCAUCUCCUUUCCUACAGUGAGAACAAAUUGGUUCCUUUCUACUUGAUGCCUCCUCGUUGGACCUGGCUGGUUAAUUUUGAUGUUUCAUUUGGAUUUCUGUUCUGGUUGAGAAGCACAACUCGUGCUUAUUCACAAUCAAAUUUUGUGAGAACAAAUUGGUUCCUUUCUACUUGAUGCCUCCUCGUUGGACCUGGCUGGUUAAUUUUGAUGUUUUAUUUGGAUUUCUGUUCUUGUUAAGAAGCACAACUCGUACUUAUUCACAAUCAAAUUUCAGUGAUUUACCAAGAUAUGGGUCAAGAAGCUUUAUGCCUUAUGUGGAGAAUCUUUGUUCUGGAACGCUUUUAACAUUUUUUUCUAUAUUUUAUAUGGUAACAUUAAAAAAAAAAAAUUAAAACCCCUAUCUCC
This is a long non-coding RNA of Bufo gargarizans (Asiatic toad), 868 nucleotides long. RefSeq lists it as uncharacterized. The transcript is spliced from 3 exons. The record is from RefSeq and is a predicted model, not a curated record. NCBI's taxonomy places the organism in Eukaryota, Metazoa, Chordata, Amphibia, Anura, Bufonidae.